Molecule: ribosomal RNA, 442 nt
Filed under: uncultured bacterium
Lineage: Bacteria
Description: bacterial SSU rRNA
Rfam family: Bacterial small subunit ribosomal RNA
Source: RNAcentral
UACGGAAGGCAGCAGUGGGGAAUAUUGCACAAUGGGCGCAAGCCUGAUGCAGCCAUGCCGCGUGUAUGAAGAAGGCCUUCGGGUUGUAAAGUACUUUCAGUCGUGAGGAAGGUGUUAAGGUUAAUAACCUUAGCAAUUGACGUUAGCGACAGAAGAAGCACCGGCUAACUCCGUGCCAGCAGCCGCGGUAAUACGGAGGGUGCGAGCGUUAAUCGGAAUUACUGGGCGUAAAGGGCACGCAGGCGGUUAAUUAAGUUGGAUGUGAAAUCCCCGGGCUUAACCUGGGAAUGGCAUUCAAGACUGGUUAGCUAGAGUCUUGUAGAGGGGGUAGAAUUCCGAUGUGUAGCGGUGAAAUGCGUAGAGAUGUGGAGGAAUACCGGUGGCGAAGGCGGCCCCUGGGACAAAGGCUGACGCUCAUGUGCGAAAGCGUGGGGAGCGAAAC